UUGAGGAGAGCCGGCCCCUGCCCAGGCCACCGCCGGCCGGGCCACUGGAAGCCUCUCCCGGCCCGUGUCCUGCGGGGCCUGCGCUGGCGGCGCGGCGGGAGUGUUGUCCUUGGGCAGGCCCGAGCAGCCAGCGACCGUCCCUCCGUUUUGCAAGGCUCCCCUGGGAACACGGGCGGCUGGGGAAUGCGCUUGUCAACAGCUGCGGUGUGAGCAGAGCGUUGCGAGCGAGGGCAGGCUCGGUGCCCGAAAGUCACGGUGUCAGUCCUGAAAAAGGUGUUUGUGGAAGGCCGGGUUGCUAAGGAAUGGUUCUUAAUGUAGUUCGUUGUUGUGAUCAUGAUCCAGCGAAGCCUCUAUGUUCUCUCCAUGGUUGUACUUGCACAUUUCUUCAUUCCAUAACCCUGAAAAAAUGACUUUUGUAUUUUUAUAUCAGACACUAACAUACCCUCUUCAUUCCAGAUUAAUUCCAGUUCAAGAGUGAGAAGGAACACAUUCCAGUGACAUGCCACAGACUUCGGUGGUCCCGAGAGUGUCCAAGGAGGCUCUUUCUAGUCAGGAAAGCACCAGACAUCACUAAUGCAUACCCGAGUUGCUUCCUGCCAUACAGUUUAGGCUUUUGCCCAUUCACUUCUUAAAUUGUCUUUGGGCUUGAGUAGGAUAUGAGCUAUAUUAUAUUUUUAGUUACGUCUUUAGAGGAAUGGGCAGAUUCACUAGGUGAAUAGGGCAUCUAGUCCAAUAUCCGGUUUCAAGCACUGGCAUGAGCUGCUAUUGAGAAAAGAUUAAGAACUUUGGAAAAAAGAUAGUGGAAGAUACCUUAUUUCUUACGUGUUUAGUACCAGUCUCUGAUUAUGUUUCUAUAAACCGUUACUUUCUGCAAUGGCUUAAUAUCCCCAACAAAAAUGUUUUGCUUACUCUGAGAAUGUUGUAGAUUUUGAACACAACAAAGUAGAGCUGGAUGGACACUUCAAAAGUCAUUUAAUUCCUCUGCUUAGGCAAAAUUGUCUAUACUUAAAUAGUGUCUGAUAGAUAUUUAUCUAACCUACAGGUUAAGUUUAUUACUCUAUGUCCCUGCUCACAGCUGUGCUCUUCGUAGUAACCUUAGAUUCUGUAAAUGCUGCUGUUUCUCCCAUUGGUGGUCUCUACACUCAAUAGUCUUAGUCCUUUCCAUUUUCUACAGGUUUUUUAGUGUUCAAGCCCUUCUUAAUGUAUCAGGACAACUGACAUCUGGGAAUAAGUUUCACAGUUUUUUUCAUUAUAAAAAAAGCAGUUUGACACUUUUGCUUUCUCUUCAAAUUGUGGUUGGUGUGUCAUUAUGAGCCUGAGAUUGUACAAGUACGGUUCAAUUCUACAAUUGACAGAUUUCGGUCUGUAUGGAUAUGCCUCCUUCAGCACCCUCAAAAAUUGGUGUUAGGCAACAAAGGUUUAAGUGGAACCAGGCUCUAACUAGAGGGACUGAAAAAAUAAUGUUGUGGGCUUUUUUCCUCGUUUCAGCACGCCUUCUAUGUCUUGUAAGAUCACUUGAGUUCUGCUGCUAAAUAGACAUUUCAGAGUAGACUCCACUCUCCCCCCUCCCCCGCGUGACAGAAAGCCUCCUGUGACAUUCUUUUUCUGAAAUCCUAUAGCCUGAAGUGAUUUCUGGUAUAUUGCCAAAGCUAGUAGAACAAUUUCCCCCACCCGCUUUAAAACAGAUUCCGUGUCAGGCUUCACUUACAUACGACAUGUAUUGUAACUCUUUAAAUAAGCAAGAGCUCUUGUAUUUCACAGGCUAUUUAUGAACUUAAUGUAAAACUAUUUACACAUAGCUGAAGUUGCACAGAAAACCAAAAUUAUUUGUUUGCAACUGUGCUUAAUUUUUUUCUGUAUUGGCACAAAAUAUCAUUUAUUCAGUAACAAUUUAGUUGCCAAAAAUCUGGCUUGUAUUCUUAGACAUUAGGCAUCUUCUGUUGCAAGCAGGUAUAAAGUUACUAUUGCAGCUGCCACUUGAUAGAACUGGGAUAUUGGGGAUCCCUGGUAAAGAAAAGAGUUAAACCCUUCAAGCAUGUUGUGAAGUGCCUUUUCUGCACAUAGACCAUUUCCUGAAAGACUCUUCAAUUUGAUUUAUUGUUUAUAGUCUUACCUGCUGAAACAUGUUAUACAGCUUUAUAGUGUACUGUAUAUGCAGCAUAGUACUGGUAUAGGUAAUAUAAACAUCAGUAAUUUAAAGUUUCAAAUACUCAGAGAAGUGCAAAAUUCUGGCCACAUUUUAAAAAUGUUCCUUCAAGCUAGCAUUUUAAUCUGGACAUUGAAUGAAGCAUUAUAUUAAAUGUUUAUAUAUUUAAUGAAAUGUUUAGUCAUAUAUUCCCUAAAUAUAUGAGGAAAGAAUAAAAGGAAGUUAAUUAUCAGGAAUUGGAAGGCCUUUGAGAUUAAUUACUUACCUACCUUUUUAGACUGCAGUUUGUGUUCCAGUGCAGUUUUCAGAUCAGGGCUAUAUAGGAUAUUUCCAAGCUCCCGCAAUCCACAGCUAGGAUAUAAGUAGGUGGAGCAUGUCUUCACACCCUUUACUUCUUCAUCCCCAGGAAGAAGAGGAUAGCCUGGGAGUGCGGAGAUGGGCAGUGAUGCUAGGAAAACAUUUAGUGAUUGGCUAAGGUUUCUAGGUAGCUGUUUGACUGUGGGAGCAGAGAUAUUUUUAGAGAUGCUCUUAGAGAUUGCCAGGGAACAAACUUGUACCACUCUUUCUGGAUAUUUGAAGCAGUUUUGUAACAGGCUGUGACAAGGUUUGCAGUCAGUACAAAAGCUACUGAAUCCUACAAUAGGUAUGCCAUAGAAAGGAAAAUAUAUUUCCGGAAAUUAUUAUUAUCUUGGUAUAAGGACAUGAAGCAUCCUAUAGAUCAGGGAUGUGAAAAGAUUCCUCAGUCUGGAUACAUGUGAGGUUUUUUUGAGAUGGGUUGCUUUUGGGAAAGAUUUCACAAGUAAGGGAGAAGCUGAACAAGAAGACCCUUCAGUGGCAAUGUUCUGACUAAUGGCAAGUCAAAGUCAUUUUCUGUGAGAUGGCUGAAUUACUAUAUAGAACUAUUUGCCUGUAAGGUUCAGUGAAACAUCCAAACCUCUUGCUGUAAUGAUGAUGUUAUCUCAGCUUAUAUGAUUCUCCUGAACUUGAACUUAGGAUCUACAGAGUCUGACGUUUGUUAACAUGAAGAAGAGUCACUUUUUUUCCCCACUCAAGAGUGGAGAAGACUAGUCCUUUGGCCUGAGCUGUCAGAACAGUAGCAGACUGUUCUGUUGAAGCUUGUAGGUCAUGAAGUUAUGGUAAAGUCCUUUGAAGAAGUAGGGAGCACACAGGCUGGGAGGCCACAGCAAGGAAAAAAAAUGGCUGAUGUAAGUGUUGGAAAUGAUUUAAUGACAGUUACGGCAUUUCAUAGUCCUAUAACUUAGCAAACAUGAGCUACUCCGUGGCAGGAAAAAAUAGGCUUAUUAAUUCAUUACUUCCUUUUGAGGCAGAUAUGAGUAUAUUUUCUUUUUCAUAAGAGCAAGUACGUGUUUGUCACCCUGUGAUGAAGGAGUAAAGUUCACUGAGCCUCAAACAACCAUUAUUGCAAACAAACAAAUAUGUACGACUUGAUACUUGAUGGCAUCUGUUUCACGAGGGAAUGAGUGAUGCAUAUGGCAACAGGACUGCCCUCAUUCCUUAGCAUUGCUUAUACCCAGUAGGUUGCUAAAAUCUGAGGCUCUGGAUGAGAUCUUGCAAAAUUCAGUCAGGGUUUGUAGGGUUGCAGCUAGGCUUCAGAACUUCAGGAAAAUCUUGUUAUCGUUGGUAAAAAUUAGGAAUGGGGAUAGUUGACUCUUUCACAUGUGAAAUGCUUGGCAGGAAAGCUGUGGGUUGUUGAAGAGGACUUGACCCAGUUCUUUGUUGUUUUCAUUCAGGAAUAGAAAUGGUAACAUCAUGAAGCUGCAGCAGGACAUAUGGAAAAGAAAGGGCAUUGGUUAUAGCCCACUUUAAAUUAAUGGCACAUCUAACAGAGCAGUGUGGAACCUAGCAACCUGCUUGUUUUUCUGGAAUGGAAAUCAUACAGCUAAUGUCAUUUUAGACCUAGGCAGUAAAGCUUUGACUAAUGGAACAUGUUGCUGGGGGUGUUUUUUUCCAAAAGGAUGGUGGGCAGGACAAUCUUAAAAUAAGGGGUCUGGUCUUCUUGGUAAACAAGAGUAAACGUGAGACCAGAAAAAGGAAAACCAAUAUGAAAUUUCAAUGAUGAUGAAAUGAAAAUACUGUAAAGGAAUAAAUUAAUCAAACGCAUAAGAUGGUUAAGUCAGAAUAAGCAAUACUGUUCACUGCAAAGAAGUACUGAUUCAGAGCUAGGAUAAGGUUAAGGUGUUAUGACAUGCUGCAGUCAUUUAUGCCACAUGUGUGAGCUGCCCAUGAAUUUAGUAUGUUUUUGGCAGCUACUGGAGCUGAAAUGCCUUUGGAGUGAUUCUGCACCCACAGACUGAAUUUAGAUGUAUCCUUUCACAAAUGCUUUAGGCAAAACUCUUAGACGUGGGCAAGAAGACCCAACUAGGAGUAGCAGAAGAUGAUGAGAAAGAAGAGGAAGAUAUCUUCAGAAUGAGGGGAAUUGUCUUUCCUACUUGGCCACAAAGAGCAGUGUAGCCAAUAACAAAUAUGCAAGAAAAUGUCAGUCCUUUUUUGCCAAAGUAAUUGUUUGGACGAAUCAACGUCGUGUGAACAACAACUGAGCUGGGCCUGAAUACUGGGCUGGCAGAAGUGAUACCAGCAGUAGAAAAGGGCAUUCUGAAACCGAGGCUGUGGUUCAGUCUCCUCUGUUAUGGGAAGCCAGUCUGUGUUAUAUAGAUGUGACUGUGGGUUCCUUUUUGAUGUUGACCUCUUAAAAAACACAUAAGUGGCACUUUCUGUCCUUUCUAGUGGGUGAGGGAACAGUUCUAGUCAGCCAAAUCAUCAUUGGCCAUGGUUAUCCAUGCCUUCCCUUUGUGUUCUGAGCAGGCUGUAACAAGGUUCAAGUUUGUGCAGAACAACAUCCCAUGACUUUCAGGUUGUAUGAGAACUGGCAUACAAGGUGCAGAGCUACAAAUGAAGCUUGUGUUCCUAGUCCUCAACUGCAGAGCACAGCAAGUACAGCACAGGGGGUGCCUGGCCCCAUGCUCCACACUGUGGUUACUCCAUCGAGCAGUGGAGUCUACAGACUAAGGCUAAAACUUGUUUGUGUGAGUGCUGGUCUUAGGGAGUGGAAUGACUCUAAACACAAAGAGUGUGUAUGAGUUAAGCUUUGUUAUGGUUGGAAGUGGUUUGGCUUUCUGAUACUAGAGCUUGUGCCUUCUCAGUAUAAGGUGGUAGAGACACAUUGAAGAAACUGUAUAUGGAGCUUACAGAGAAGAAAUAAGCUACAGGCAAACUACUGACAAGUCAUUUUUGUAAUUUUCCCUGCUAUACCUGCUGUUAUACACUAUACCACUGAAAUCAGUCCAGUGAUAUACCACUUGGUUGCCUGGAAGAGAGCUAUCAGCAAUGAUAUAUAAUUUCCUUAAAGUGACACAUUUUAAAAAACUGGUCUUAACAGCUGUGUGCUUGAAGUUUUCUGCUUGAGCUGUUAGAAAACACAAAAUGCUGGAGCCUGUCUCACCACAUGCUGUAACAAGUACUUUGCAGUCAAACUUUGGCGAACAAAAAUGAUAAUGAUCAUGCAUAAUAAUAAUAAUAAUAAUAAUAAUAAUAAUAAUAUAAUGGCCAGUCUUCAAGCCCAGUUUCUCAGUACUGAAGCUCCUCUACAGCGCCAAUAGCAGCAAAAGCUUGCUUGAAGAGAUAAGCCAGAUACAUAUGAAUCACAGUCUGAGAGCAUCUCCUACAGUGAGCUGUAAACAUUCUCUUUAGAGCCUACUCCCCAGUAUAGAAUUUGUCAUUGUUACUUGGAAUUCUGGUAUGAAUAUUUGUAAUCAAGCUUUAACUUCUGAGAACAGAAUUUUGGAGGUUUUGUGUUUUCUGUUUAGUCUUGUUGCAGCACUCAGAUUUCCCAGACUGGAGUAGGAGCAGUCGUCUUGCUGAUGUGUAAAUGUAUGGGAAAAUGUAGACCUUCUCCAGAAUCAGAGGUCCUAAAGGACAAAAGAAAACAGCAGACAAACAUUAGUGGUAAGGGAUGUAACACAGACACCAAACCAUUAUCAUAAUCAUAGAUUAAUGCUCUCUCGUUCUUUACAUUAUCAUUGUCUACUAUUUCUUCUUCACUUUCUUGUUUCUUUUCUUUUGCCCUUACUUUCUUCUGUCAUCAAAGCCACUUCUUAUUCAGUCUGUAAAGGUUGACUUGAAUAUAUUUUGUCUAUAGUUAAUUAAGCAGUGGGAGAAUCCUCUUGGAGAGAUCUGCAUACUCAAGACAUGUCAUGUCAAUGUCAGUAUAUCCUGAAACGUAUAAACUGCUGCUAUUCAUAUUUCAAUGCCCUUUCUGAAUAGAUCCUUUAUGAAACAACUUACUAGUAUCUGCACCUGGAUUUGUUUGGUGUUGUCCAGGGCAUGUCUCACCAUCAGGAGGCAAAUUUGAUUAGGCAACUGGCAACAAGACAAGAUGAAAUGGCCUCAAGCUGCACCAGGGGAGGUUCUGGUUGGACAUCAGGAGGAAGUUGUUCAAGGAAUGGAUACCCAAGGAGUCACCAUCCAUGGAAAUGUUUAAGAAAUGACUGACGUGGCAGUUAGUGCCAUGGUAUAGUUGACAAGGUUGAGAUCAGUCAAAGGUUGGACUCGAUAAUCUUGGAGGUCUUUUGCAACCUAAAUGAUUGUGAUUCUGUGAAACUAGUUCUUCAUAUGCAGAUGGGCUAUUGACUGUAUGGUGGUGGGAUCCUGUCCCUUGGGAAGCAGCAGUUCCUGGCUCCUGCUGAAUUCCAGCAAGUUCAACCACUGAAUCAGAAAAGAAAAAUACAAUCUGACAUAUAAUCCUUGACAAGUUGCUGACCCUUGUAUCUGAGCGAUAAGAGGAAAUUAUUCUCUGUGUUCAUGCAGUUCUUUUCUCUGUAAACAGCAAUUCUUCAUCCACAGCCUUAAGAAAAAAAAAGUCGGUUGAAGGCAGAAAGCUCAGUCUCAUUUCUGAGUGUAAGAAGGCCCUUUUACAGAUGGUUGAAUUCAGCCUUGUCUGAAGUGAAUGUAACAAUUGCUUAAUAAUGUGAAGCCUUAAAUCAUAUCCAGCAGAUUCUGUAGGGGGAUUUUGCAGGCAGGAAGAAGUCAAUUUAUUCAAAGCUGGAUGCAGAUCAAGGUUUAUUGGCUUAUACACUGUAAACUUGAUAGCUCUAAAGUGGUAACUGACAUACUUUUGUAAAAUGUCAUUUGUGAGCAUGUGCAAUGCUGUAAGAAGGUGUUUUUCCAUCCAGGUCAAGAAACAACUUUUUACUUACUCAUUAAUCAGUUACACUUUUCUUGAGAAAAGGCAUGUAAUCCAACAUAAUAUUCCAAAAUUUACUGGAAAGAAAAAUCCAAGUAGAAGCUUUUCAGGUUAUGAUUAAGGAUUCCUUUGCUUGUUUGUUGGGUUUUUCCCCCCUUGGAAUAGUCAGAGUCAACAUAACCAGCAUGUUUUCUGGUAAGAGAAACCUUUACUUCAGCAGCAACCUUCUUAUCCUGUAUGAGAUUUUAUACUGUUAAUGCAGAGUGUCUGUGUUAACACUCAUUUAAAUGAGUUUGAUCCUGUUAUUUUUUUUUUCAUAGACAAGUCUAAAAUGCAAACAAAAAAAUGAUACCUCUGGCAGACAGAAUUAAUUUUCUGCAAGGGAGUUUCAUCUGUUUUGCUUAGCAAAAAUGUAAUGCUGAAAUAAUGUUUUGUGACAUUGGCUGUGUACAAAGGGAGACUGAAAAAUCACAUUUCCAUGGAAAAGUUUAAUGUAUAAAAAAAGAAGUAGAGGGAAAUUCUGUUCUCAGUGAAGUUAAUUUUUUUCUCUUGUCUUUUACAAGGUCAGUUUUCAUCUCACCAGUUGAGUAAAUGCAAUCUAACAAAAAAUGUUAAGAGCCACAGUGACAGAGGUAACAAUUCAACAGCUGGAGGAUCAGUGUGGGCUACUUUCAGGAAUCACCCACAUACAGAAGAAAGAAAUACUCCCCUGGAGACUGCAGACCCUUGAAGAUACCCAAAUGGUUGCCAAAACAAAAAUGUCAUAGAAUCACAGAAUUGUUUAGUUUGGAAAAAACCCUUUAAGAUCAUGAAGUCCAGCUGUUAGCUGAGAACUGCCAAGUCUACCACUAAACCACGUCCGUAAGUGCCAUAUCUACACAUCUUCUAAAUAACCUCAAGGAUGGUGACUCCAUUACUACCCUGGACAGUUUGUGCCAAUGCUUGACGUCUUGUUACUUGGGAGAAGAGACUGACCACUACUUGGCCACAACCUUCUUUCAGGCAGUUGUAGAGAGCAAGAAAAUCUCUCCUGAACCACCUCCUCUUGAGGCUAAACACCCUCAGCAACCUCAGCCACUCCUCACAGGACUUGUGCUCCAGAGUCUCUCCCAGCUCCAUUGCCCUUCUGUGGACUCGCUUCAGACCCUCAAUGUCCUUACAGGGGUGAGGGGCCCAGAACUGGAUUUGAAGUACAGCUUCACUAGUGCUGAGUACAGAGGGAUGAUCACAACCCUGGUCCUUCUGGCCACACUAUUGCUGAUCCAAGCCAGGAUGCCUGUGACCUUGCCACCUGGGCACACUGCUGGCUCAUGUUCAGCCUCUGUCAACUAAUACUCCCAGGUCCUUUUCCACUAGGCAGCUUUCCAGCCACUCUUCCCAUAGCCUGUAGCACUCCCUGGGAUUGUUAUGAUCCAAGUGCAGGACUUAGCAUUUGGUCAGGUUGAACCUCAUAAAACUGGCCUUAGCCCAUUUAUCCAGCCUGUCCUGAUUCUUCUGCAGAGCCUUUCUGUUCUCCAGGAGAUCAACACUCUCAACUUAGUGAGGAUGCCCUUGAUUCCCUCAUCCAGAUCAUUGAUAAGGAUAUUAAAUAGGACUGGCUUAAAUACUGAGCCCUUUGGGACACCACUUGUGACCGGCUGCCAACUGGAUGUAACUCCAUUCACCACCACUCUCUGGGUCCUACCAUCCUGACAGUUUUUACCCUGUGAAGAGUGCACCUGUCCAAGUCAUGUGCUGCCAGCUUCUCCAGAAAAGUGAUGUCAAAGGCUUUAAUGAAGUGCAGGUUAGACAGCAUUCACAGCUUCUCCCUGAGAAGAUCAGGUGGGUCAAGCAGCACCUGCCUUUCCUAAACCCAUGAUGGCUGGGCCUGAUCUCCUAGUUGUCCUGCAUGCUCUUAGUGAUGGCACUCACACUGAUCUGCUCCAUGACCUUCCCAACACCAGGGUCAGGUUGACAGGCCUGGAUCCCCCUUUCAGCCUGUCUUGUAUGGUGACAUCACAUUUGCCAUCCUCCAGUCAACUGGGGCCAGCCUGGUUAGCCAGGACUGUUGGUAAAUGAUGAAAAUGGCUUGGUGAGCUGUUCCACCAGCUCCCUCAGUACCCUUGGGUGGAUCCUAUCUGCCCCCAUAGACCUGUGUGUGUCUAAGUGGUGUAGCAGGUAAUUGACUGUCUCCCCUUGGAUUAUAGUCUUCAUUCUGCCCAUCUCUGUCUUCCACAUCAGUGGGCUGAGUAUCCAGAAAAAAACUGGUUUUGCUAUUAAAGACUGAGGGAAAUAAGGCAUUAAGUUCCUCAUCUGCUUCCUCAUCCCUUGUCACAAUGUCUCCCUCUGCAUCCAGUAAAUGAUAGAGAUUUUCCUUUUGUUGGUGGUGUAUUUUUAGAAACAUUUUUUCUUGUCUUUUACAGUAGUAGGCAUUUUAAAUUCUUGUUGAGUUUUGGCCCUUCACUAGGAUGUUUUUCUCUGUAAAAAUUCUCUUUUGACCUGAGACAUGAUUUCUGUUAUGAAAAUAUAUUUAAAAAUAGCUUGAAAGGCGGUUUCUCAGACUAAGACUGAAAUUGUUGGUAGAUGGGCUUGCAAGGAAGUAGUUCACACCUGUGGUGACAUUUCUUUGUGGGUCUCUUCAUUUAGAGAACAUUUUGACACAGAUCUAAUACCUCUCAACUUCAGGCAGCUGAGAGGAUUAAAUUUUUUCUUAAAAAAUGGUUGGAAAAAAUAAAUCAACUUGAUUGUCAAUGUAAUAUUUUUACAUAGGUAAAUAAUACAAAGUGAUUAUCUGUAGCAACAAAAAAAAAACCCAACCCAACCUAAACUGUUGUGUGGAAUGCAGAAUUUAUCACACUCCUAGAGAUUGUAAACUUGCAGAAAUGCAUAUGAAUGUGAGAAUUAGCUGAUGUCUGACAGCAUUGAGAAGAUGGGCCAGGAGAUGAGUAAAGUUUCUACUCACGUAAACCAUAAAUAAGUGACAUUUAGUGCAGAGACAGAAGUCUACAGGCUUUAUUCAUAUUUUAAAUUAGCAUAUUUUAAAUUAUCACUCGAAGCAAUUUGUACUUGUUAGUUUGAACUGGCCCAGUUGUUGAACUUAGCCCAACAUUUGGGUAACUAAACUUGUAUUAUGGAGUUCAGAAUGUUAAACAAGGGAGUUAUGCUAAUGUGGAUUUUAUUUUCAUGGCUCUGUGUAUUUGGUUGGCAAAACAAACUUUUCAGACUGGUCUGUUGAUGUAAAAGAGUAUGUCAUUAAGAACUGAACUCAUCCUAUAGCUUUCCACUGGCCUCUGUGGUUUGAAUUGGUGAUUUUGGUUCAGCUCACAGAAGCCAGUUGUGUAAGCACUGUUAGCACUGGCCUUUUAAAUCUUGAAGGCAUGACAACCCCACUUUGUCCUCAUCACUUUGCUAUGUUUAACCUGUAAAUACAACUCUGCAUUCCAAGUACUGUUCACCCAGCAAGUUGUCUGGGGGAAAAUGAUGUGCUGAGGUGCUUACCAAAUGGUGCUACCCAAGAAAAGUUGCACUGACUACAUGUAUGUCGUGGUUUUGCCCAGCCAGCCAGCCCCUGGGGCUGAGAAUGGUUUUGUCCAGGUGGAUUUCCAGACAAGAAGCCAAUUAAAACUCUCACUAAUGCCUUUGUUAAUUACAUAUUUAAGAAAAAUGGAAGAGAAGGUUGGUGGCGUAGUUGAAAUUAGUAGCAGUAGCCAUGCAGGAGAGACGGUGGGCCCCGAGGUGGGCCAAGGCCCCCUCCUCUCCUGGCCUGGACCAGGGGCAAGUGUAGCACUGAAGUCCUCUCUUCUCUUAUGUAAGAGAGUGAAGAAAAAAAUAAACUUUAAAGGACUGACUGCUUGGAUGAGAAACGCUGCAGAAGAAAUUCCAGCAAAGAGAUAAUGAAGUGUCCAAGGUCAAAGCUGGCAGCUACAGGAGAGAGAAGAAAAGUGCAAAGGGGGGCUUGCUGCUCCCUCCUUUCGGUCUCUCCCUUCAGCAGGGAAAAGACUGAAAAAUAAUCCCUACCACCUGUAGAAGAUUGUUGGGGUGAGGAGACCCUCAUGCAGCUCACAGAGGAGCUUGUGGAUGUACCAGGGAGCCGAGACUUCAUGAGAGGCCUGAGGUGAGGCAGAGUCCUGUUGAAGAUUUGUGACCCUGAGGAAAAUCUACACUGGAGCGAGAUGGCCCGGGUAGGAUGUUGGAAUCCAUGUGUGAAAUCCAUGCCAGACCCACGUUGGAGAGGUCUAUCAAGAACUGUUCUCCCGUGGGGAGGGACCUCCACAGAAAACGGGUGGACUCAUAAGCCAUUAUCCCCUGUAAUCCUGUGGAAGAAGAUCCAUGGUAAGCAAGUGUCCCCUUGCAAGUCCAUGGAAAAGAAAACCUUCAGGGCCUGGGUAAUCCCCAGCCUCUGGUCUUAGCCAAGGAGGAGGGUAGGCCCAGCCCUGGAGGCUGACACAGAGCAAGAGAGAAAGAAAAAGAGUUCCAGCUGCAACAAGAGUACUGCAGAGUUAUUGAAGAGACCUGGAGCUCCGAGAAUGGAGAAAGAGGCUGCUUCUCCUCCUUGGACUGAUAUAAAGGGGGGAGAAGUAUUUCUGUAAAUACAUAGUUCUUUUACUUAAGUAAAACUGUUGUAAUUAUAGUUCUUUAGUUUUAGCUUACUAGUAAUAAAUGUUAAUAUUAUUUUCCCAAAUCAGGCCUCUUUUGUCUGCAUAAACCUUCUCUCAACUAAUAGUAAUUGUGUGUGGGGUGUGAGAGCAAAUUGACCCAGAGCAAAACCAUGACAAUGUAGCAUAUCUGCUGUACCUUCAUGGGUGGUAUUAGAAGGCAACAACAUUUUUAUUUGGAUUAGCUAGAGGAUGUGAAACAAAACCGUCCUCUGUGACGAUGAGUAUUAUGUUAUGAGUUCAGUUAGAAUUCUCAAAACCUGUCAGGAGAGCAGCUGGAACAUGCUCUUCAUGUAUUAACUUGUUUAAUCUUUUUUCUGUAGUUUGGGAUGUCAGAGUGGUACUGUGACUCCAAAAUCUCUGCCUAUGCUCUUCCAUCUUCUAAGAGAAUUAAGGAGAUGAAAGGACAAAGAAGAUCAACGAGACAAAAUUAGAGCUAAUCUCAGCUGGCACCUCUACCUUCCUAACCCAGAGACUAAUCACACAAAGUAACUACCAUGAAGAAGGCUGGCACUUCAUUUACCUGAAGAUAAAGUCAAUUUCUCGGUCCUUUCCUUCUGCAGAUUUUUGCGAAGAAUAAGCAUAGUCCAGUGGCUAGGAUCUGCUGUUAGGCUCUAUGUCUACACUGUGCCCUGAGAAUAGCCACCUAAAAUCUUUUCAGCCCUUAAUUUGCUUCCUGCAUUCCUCCACCUGAUUGUCAUAAAUUUUGAACACUCAAAACAAGCUCCUGUAGGGAGGAAAAAUAGAAAUAUUUUGGAGGGUUAACACCUGAACACUGAAGUUAGUCCCUGUCAGCCCCAGUUCUAAGAAAUCACUAUUGGAAAUUUAGUGUGUCAUCCUUCUGCCAUAUGUGCCAUUGGGAUAAUACUAUUUGCAAGCCUACUGGGAAGAUUUCAGUGAUGGAAUGAUUACUUUUUGUUAAGUGCUAAAUUUCAUUAGAAUGUAUAAAAAUAUCCUCCAGUUUGCUACAAAAUCUCUGUGGAUUUUAGGAAGCAGGCACUAUCCUCACAUAAAAACUGACAGGAGAAUAAAAGCUCUGUGAAAGCAGACUCUCUUCCUGUUUGCCACCUUACCAAAAAACACCAGAAGCAAGCAAAAACUGGUGCUUGCUUUUUUUGUCCCCCUCAUUUACAUAAAGAACUCAUCCUGGUUCCUGCCACAGUUUUACGGUAUGCUUUUUACACUUAUCUGACAUGUGCUGAUCUUAUAUUUACAAAAUAUGGAAAACUAGUGUUGGUAGGUGUGACAGUCAAAUGUAAUUUUCUUUGUGAAAAUUAAAUUGGAAAAGUAUUUCUUGCUGUUUUGUGUGACAAUUAUCACAAUUAAGAAGGUGGUGCU
Myiozetetes cayanensis is the source of this 13318-nucleotide long non-coding RNA. RefSeq lists it as uncharacterized. The transcript is spliced from 3 exons. NCBI's taxonomy places the organism in Eukaryota, Metazoa, Chordata, Aves, Passeriformes, Tyrannidae. The record is from RefSeq and is a predicted model, not a curated record.